RNAcentral lists this ribosomal RNA (305 nucleotides) under uncultured bacterium. RNAcentral describes it as "bacterial SSU rRNA". It matches the Rfam family "Bacterial small subunit ribosomal RNA", at positions 334 to 631 of the family's 1533-position model. The record is from RNAcentral.
UUUCCCUACGGGGCGCAGCAGUAGGGAAUCUUCCACAAUGGGCGAAAGCCUGAUGGAGCAACGCCGCGUGGGUGAAGAAGGUCUUCGGAUCGUAAAGCUCUGUUGUUGGUGAAGAAGGAUAUAGGUAGUAACUGGCCUAUAUUUGACGGUAAUCAACCAGAAAGUCACGGCUAACUACGUGCCAGCAGCCGCGGUAAUACGUAGGUGGCAAGCGUUGUCCGGAUUUAUUGGGCGUAAAGCGAGCGCAGGCGGAGAAAUAAGUCUGAUGUGAAAGCCCACGGCUCAACCGUGGAACUGCAUCGGAA